AUGCCCGCCCGCCCCUCCCGCGGCGGAAAGGCCCCGGCGCGCUCCUGCCAGCACCGUAUGGGAAGGGGCUGGCAAGUGCCCCAGCGAAGGGCUGGAUACGAGCGGGGAUGCUGCGCCCGAGCCAGCCCCAGCCACCGCCAGCCGCGCAGGGGAGGCCGGAUCCGGCCCCGCGAGGAGGAGGAGGAGGAGGAGGAGGAGGAGGAAGGCAGCGGCAGCAACCGCCUCCGGACCUGCCUCUCUCCCCGAGGAGGGCGGGAAGGGAGCCCGGAUUCGCCCCCCUCGGCCCCCCCCUUUCCCCGCCGCCCUCCCCGGGGAUCCUCCGCCCGCCCCGGGAGGCUGCGGCCCCGGCCUCCCUCCCCCGGCGGGGCGGGAAGGCGGCCGCGGCCUGGGUGCGCAGGAAAAUGGCGCGCAAAGCCGGCGCGGCGGAGCAGAGGCCGUUGGCUGGACGGGGCCGGGCCCGCGGCCGGGCCCUGGCCUCCCGCCGCCGCCGCCNNNNNNNNNNNNNNNNNNNNNNNNNNNNNNNNNNNNNNNNNNNNNNNNNNNNNNNNNNNNGGGGGGGGGGGGGGGGGGGGGGGGGGGGGCGGGAGGGCGCCUGCCUCACCUUGGGCUUCUCGUCGGCCAUGGCGAGUCAGCGAUGUCCGGGCCACUCCGAGCGCCUCACAAAGGGGGGGAAGAAACGACCGAGCGCGGCGGAGAAGAGAGGAGAGAGAGAGGGAGGGAGAGAGAGAGAGAGGGGAAGGCGGGGGGGGGAAGGGAGCGCGCACGCACUGCCGCGGGGCCGCGCCUUGCCCCCGUGCGUGCGCGCGCCCGCCCCGUCCGCCGGGCUCUCCCCCGCCCCCCCCCCCGGCGCGGCCCCGCCGCUCAUUGGGCCCCGACGGGCGGUGGGGGGCGGGGACGGGCUCGGGGGGAGGGAGCGCGCGCGCGCCCCGGCCGUUACAUAACGCGGCGGGAGGCGGAGCGUGCGCGCGCCCCGGCCGCUGCCCGCCCUGCGUGCGCGCGCCCCGCCCCGCCCCGCCCGCCCGCCGGGCGCAGCGGGCCCUGCCGUGCGGCGGGUAUUGUCCUCCUCAAAAUGGCCGCCGGGCCGCGGCGCCCCGCGCCCCUCCCCACCGCCCGGGAAGGGUCCUCCGCCGCCCGGCCCGAGCCCGCCAGCUUCGCGGCGCCCGGCCCGGCUUCCUCAGGGCCUCCUCGGCGCCGCCGUCCCUUCAGCACCUCGCCCAUGAGCCCUGCGGGCCGCCCUCGCUCUCGGGCCUGCUGCGCCAUCCCCACAGGCGCCUUUCCCUGACGCUCCCCCCGCGGGUGACCCCUCCGUCUCGUCCGCCUCGUGGGCCUCCUCACACCGGACGCGUUUUCCCCCCCCCGCGCUCGUGGCCCUCGGUGUUUUACGGAUGA
This 1389-nucleotide long non-coding RNA is filed under the name Accipiter nisus (Eurasian sparrowhawk). RNAcentral's name for it is "lncRNA (ENSANIG00000002442.1)". Lineage: Eukaryota; Metazoa; Chordata; Aves; Accipitriformes; Accipitridae. The record is from RNAcentral.